CAGGUACCCUGUCAGACAGUUUCCAUCUUCUCAUAAUCUUCACAAGAAUCCUACAGAAACAAGAUGUACACCCUCAUUUACUGAUGAUGAUCCUUCAGCCCAGAGAUGGUACCACAGGUCUAGAGAACAGAAGUUAAGGGCAGACAUUGUGGAACUGGCUUUGGGCCGUGAAGAUGUAGAUCCCAUGAUGGAUAAUGGGUAACAAGUCCACGGGCCGACAGGCAAUAAGAAUUGGA
This is a long non-coding RNA of Cercocebus atys (sooty mangabey), 236 nucleotides long. RefSeq lists it as uncharacterized. NCBI's taxonomy places the organism in Eukaryota, Metazoa, Chordata, Mammalia, Primates, Cercopithecidae. The transcript has 3 exons. The record is from RefSeq and is a predicted model, not a curated record.